CCCGCUUCCAGGAAAAGCCUCUAAGCUUCAGAUCACAUUGGACCGUACCGUAAACCGACACUGGUGGGUGAGCAGAUAAUCUGCCAAGGCGCUUGAGAGAACUCGGGUUAAGGAACUCUGCAAAUUGAUACCGUAACUUCGGAAGAAGGUAUGCCUUCGACGGUGUAGGGAUUUACUCCCGAAGCUGUUGAAGGUCGCAGGUAAUCGGUGGCUGCGACUGUUUAUCAAAAACACAGGACUCUGCGAACACGCAAGUGGAAGUAUAGGGUCUGACGCCUGCCCGGUGCCGGAAGGUUAAUUGAUGGGGUUAGCCGCAAGGCGAAGCUCUUGAUCGAAGCCCCGGUAAACGGCGGCCGUAACAAUAACGGUCCGAAGGUAGCGAAAUUCCUUGUCGGGUAAGUUCCGACCUGCACGAAUGGCGUAACGCUGGCCACACUGUCUCGACCCGAGACUCAGUGAAGUUGAAAUCGCUGUGAAGAUGCGGCGUUCCCGCGGCAAGACGGAAAGACCCCGUGAACCUUCACUACAGCUUUACACUGAACUUUGAACCUUUCUGUGUAGGAUAGGUGGGAGGCUAUGAAACUUGGGCGCUAGCUCGAGUGGAGCCAACCUUGAAAUACCACCCUGGGAUGUUUGAAGUUCUAACCUUGGUCCGUAAUCCGGAUUGGGGACAGUGUAUGGUGGGUAGUUUGACUGGGGCGGUCUCCUCCCAAAGAGUAACGGAGGAGUGCAAUGGUACGCUCAGCGCGGUCGGUCAUCGCGCUCUAGAGUGCAAAGGCAUAAGCGUGCUUAACUGUGAGACAGACACGUCGAACAGGUACGAAAGUAGGUCUUAGUGAUCCGGUGGUUCUGUAUGGAAGGGCCAUCGCUCAACGGAUAAAAGGUACUCCGGGGAUAACAGGCUUAUUCCUCCCAAGAGUCCACAUCGACGGAGGAGUUUGGCACCUCGAUGUCGGCUCAUCACAUCCUGGGGCUGUAGCAGGUCCCAAGGGUAUGGCUGUUCGCCAUUUAAAGUGGUACGCGAGCUGGGUUCAGAACGUCGUGAGACAGUUCGGUCCCUAUCUGCCGUGGGCGUUGGAAACUUGAGGGUGAGCUGUCCUUAGUACGAGAGGACCGGGAUGGACGUAUCUCUGGUGUUCCGGUUGUCACGCCAGUGGCACUGCCGGGUAGCUAUAUACGGACGGGAUAAGCGCUGAAAGCAUCUAAGCGCGAAGCCCCCCCCAAGAUUAGGUUUCCCUGGGAACUCGAUUCCCCUAAAGGGCCGUCGGAGACUACGACGUUGAUAGGCUGGGUGUGUAAGUGCAGCAAUGCAUUGAGCUAACCAGUACUAAUUGCCCGUGAGGCUUGACCA
RNAcentral lists this ribosomal RNA (1351 nucleotides) under metagenome. Its description in RNAcentral is "bacterial LSU rRNA". It matches the Rfam family "Bacterial large subunit ribosomal RNA", at positions 1601 to 2925 of the family's 2925-position model. The record is from RNAcentral.